CGCCUGCGCGGAAGCCGGGCGGGUCACGUGACGGGCGCUGCCCGGAUGGGUCUAGGCUCCCGGAAGUAGUUGCUGCCGCUUUAAGAUCUCCUCUUUUCCAGCCAGGAGGCCCUGGCAUCUGUGAAGUAUCCGGUAGCCAGAUGCACACGCAGCGGCAACUCAUUUUCACCUCAGCCAGACCAGAUGAGCAUCUGAAACUAGGGCCUGUGGCAGAAGCCUCCUGUACCCCACAUGUAAGUAGACAUGGGGUUCUGUUGUUCCUUUAUCCCCUGAACAUGAACACCCAGGCGGACUUGUUUGUUCACUACUUGUUUGUUCACUACUGUUGUGAUAUAUCACAAA
Long non-coding RNA from Cavia porcellus (domestic guinea pig), 342 nucleotides. RefSeq lists it as uncharacterized. The transcript has 2 exons. The record is from RefSeq and is a predicted model, not a curated record. Lineage: Eukaryota; Metazoa; Chordata; Mammalia; Rodentia; Caviidae.